AUUGAACGCUGGCGGCAUGCCUUACACAUGCAAGGUCGAACGGCAGCACGGGAGCAAUCCUGGUGGCGAGUGGCGAACGGGUGAGUAAUAUAUCGGAACGUGCCCAGUCGUGGGGGAUAACGUAGCGAAAGCUACGCUAAUACCGCAUACGAUCUACGGAUGAAAGCGGGGAUCGCAAGACCUCGCGCGAUUGGAGCGGCCGAUAUCAGAUUAGGUAGUUGGUGAGGUAAAGGCUCACCAAGCCGACGAUCUGUAGCUGGUCUGAGAGGACGACCAGCCACACUGGGACUGAGACACGGCCCAGACUCCUACGGGAGGCAGCAGUGGGGAAUUUUGGACAAUGGGCGCAAGCCUGAUCCAGCAAUGCCGCGUGCAGGAUGAAGGCCUUCGGGUUGUAAACUGCUUUGUACGGAACGAAACGGUGAGCUCUAAUACAGUUUGCUAAUGACGGUACCGUAAGAAUAAGCACCGGCUAACUACGUG
Molecule: ribosomal RNA, 483 nt
Filed under: uncultured bacterium
Lineage: Bacteria
Description: bacterial SSU rRNA
Rfam family: Bacterial small subunit ribosomal RNA
Source: RNAcentral